AUUAGAUACCCUUGUAGUCCGGCUUACUGACUCUUACACCAAGUAUCUCGUAUGCCGUCUUCUGCUUGAAAAAAAACAUCCAGCUCAACAGGAAGGCGUCUCAGGGAUACUGGCGGGCUUGGGAGCGGAAGAGGUGAGAGGUACUCCCAGGGUAGGAGUGAAAUCCUAUAAUCCUUGGGGGACAAUCUGUGGCGAAGGCGGCUAACCAGGACGGUUCCGACAGUGAGGAAUGUAAGCCAGGCGCGCAAAUAG
This 252-nucleotide ribosomal RNA is filed under the name uncultured prokaryote. RNAcentral's name for it is "partial 16S rRNA". The stretch from base 41 to 252 matches the Rfam family "Archaeal small subunit ribosomal RNA", at positions 513 to 726 of the family's 1478-position model. The record is from RNAcentral.